RNAcentral lists this long non-coding RNA (590 nucleotides) under Olea europaea subsp. europaea. Lineage: Eukaryota; Viridiplantae; Streptophyta; Magnoliopsida; Lamiales; Oleaceae. The record is from RNAcentral.
CAGUUAUAUCAAACUGAACCCCAAAGAUUGAUAUUUGUUCAUAAAACUGAAUAGAAUGCACCUGUAACAGAGAAUAAAAAACCAUCUUUUAUCAUAAUUAUCAAUAAUUUAAAGGCUUACAGUCGAAAUCACUACUAUAAUAUACGAUGUAUUUUUUUGUAUUUGGGACAGCAAAUCUUUGUUCUGCUGCUGAAGGAAAAGAGCUUGCUUUUGGAGCCUUUGGUUAUCUUCAAAAAUACUUUUGCUCUUCAGAUACAGCUUUAAGUUCUUCAUUUCCAUAAUCUCCAACUGGCCCACCUUGGCCUUUUUAAUGGCUUCCUUUGACUAUCUCGGCCUCCUGUUACAAUAACAAUAUGUUGUUACUGACUACUGCUAUGGCAGGUGCCUGGUGUUGAGAGAGAGAGAGAGAGAUGACUGACCUGUUUAGCCGGCGAACAUGAACCCUGUUUCUCUUUUGCAGACAUGGUUGUAAAACAGCUGAAGAUGAGGGUUGAUUUGAAAUGUUUGUGCCCAUUUUUCUCAAGAAAAUGUCUCAAAAAGAGGGAAUUUUGCUUUGGGAUUGAUAGGGGGAAAUAAGACACAGUUUUUAG